This 253-nucleotide ribosomal RNA is filed under the name uncultured bacterium. RNAcentral describes it as "partial 16S ribosomal RNA". It matches the Rfam family "Bacterial small subunit ribosomal RNA", at positions 524 to 776 of the family's 1533-position model. The record is from RNAcentral.
UACGGAGGGUGCAAGCGUUGUCCGGAUUUAUUGGGUUUAAAGGGUGCGUAGGCGGCUUAGUAAGUCCGUGGUGAAAGCCAACAGCUCAACUGUUGAACUGCCAUGGAUACUGUUAGGCUUGAGUACAGACGAGGUAGGCGGAAUGGAUGCUGUAGCGGUGAAAUGCAUAGAUAGCAUCCAGAACUCCGAUUGCGAAGGCAGCUUACUAGGCUGUAACUGACGCUGAGGCACGAAAGCGUGGGGAGCAAACAGG